Non-coding RNA from Caretta caretta (loggerhead turtle), 1095 nucleotides. The record is from RefSeq and is a predicted model, not a curated record. Lineage: Eukaryota; Metazoa; Chordata; Testudines; Cheloniidae.
GGCCUGGUCCUCGGCAAUCCCCCUUCGUGUUACUGCUCCCCAGUCACUUACUGCAGGAAGCGCCAUCCACGGGGUGCAGUACAUCCCACCGCUGCCACCAGUUGUCACGGAGUCCCUGGGCGAUGCUCUGGAACUGCUCCCCAUGAAGCCAGUCAGGACUCUGGGGCAGUCGCCUUUCUGUGAGCAGCCUGUCUUCAGGACACGCAGCUCACUCAGCUUCCACCUUCCUGGGUCUGACCUCGGAGCAUUCAGCAUCCUCUGCCCCUCCGUGCGCUUCCCACAGCGAGUCCGCUCAGGCGGGGCUCCUGGGGAAGCCAGAGGGUCCUGCACCCCAACUUCGCAGUCAGACGUGACUCUCAGCCAGCCAGUAAAACAGAAGGUUUAUUAGACGACAGGAACAUGGUCUAAAACAGAGCUUGCAGGUGCAGAGAACGGGACCCCUCAGCUGGGUCCAUUUUGGGGGGCAGUGAGCCAGACAACCACGUCUGCACUUCACUCCAUGUCCCAGCCAGCCCCAAACUGAAAACCCCCUCCAGUCCCUCCUCCUCUGGGCUUUGUUCCUUUCCCGGGCCAGGUGGUCACCUGAUUCCUUUGUUCUCCAACCCUUUAGCUCUCACCUUGCAGGGGGGAAGGGCCCAGGCCAUCAGUUGCCAGGAAACAGGGUGUUGGCCAUUCUCUGUGUCCAGACCCCUGCACACACCUGCCCUCUAGGGCUCUGCAAUGAUCAUACACCCUUACCCCACCCCCUAGAUACUUAAGAACUGCCUAGGGGAAACUGAGGCACCCCCACACUAUUCAGAGGAAACAUUAAGAACAGUCCCACUUCGUCACAAAUGCACAGGACAGGGCACUAUGGAGUGAGCCGUUCUCUGUCCUCCAGCCCCAGCUUUUGGCAAACAGUCUGGGGACACUCAGAGUGUGGGGUUGUGUCCCUGCCCGUCCUGGAUCAUCACCACGGAGGGACCUACGUGCCAGGAAUUGAUCUAGUUCUUUUUUGAACCCUGUCAUAAUCUUGGUCUUCAACAUCCCCUGGCAGUGAGUUCCACAGGUUGUCUGUGUGUUGGGUGAUGAAUCACUUCGUUUGGUUGUUUUGAA